CGCCUCACACACACACAAACACAUAAACACAUUUCCUGAAUUUAUUAGUUAAGUAAUGUCGGAUGGAACACUGUUUUAGUGUUGAGUGUUCGUUGGAUUAUGAUGGGUGGCGC
This 113-nucleotide ribosomal RNA is filed under the name Trypanosoma equiperdum. The record is from RNAcentral. Lineage: Eukaryota; Euglenozoa; Kinetoplastea; Trypanosomatida; Trypanosomatidae.